This 332-nucleotide unclassified non-coding RNA is filed under the name soil metagenome. Its description in RNAcentral is "partial contains 5.8S ribosomal RNA, internal transcribed spacer 2, and large subunit ribosomal RNA". The stretch from base 1 to 120 matches the Rfam family "5.8S ribosomal RNA", at positions 35 to 154 of the family's 154-position model. The record is from RNAcentral.
GAUGAAGAACGUAGCGAAAUGCGAUAAGUAGUGUGAAUUGCAGAAUUCAGUGAAUCAUCGAAUCUUUGAACGCACAUUGCGCCCUUUGGUAUUCCUUAGGGCAUGCCUGUUCGAGCGUCAUUUAAACCUUCAAGCUAAGCUUGGUGUUGGGUGACUGUCCGCUUCACGACGGACUCGCCUCAAAAUUAUUGGCGGCCGGUACAUUGGCUUCGAGCGCAGCAGAAACGCGAACUCGGGCCCGUCGUAUUGGCUCCCAGAAGCUAUCUUCACAAUUUUGACCUCGGAUCAGGUAGGGAUACCCGCUGAACCUAAGCAUAUCAAUAAGCGGAGGA